GACGAACUUUGGCGGCGUGCUUAACACAUGCAAGUCGAACGGAAAGGCCCUGCUUUUGUGGGGUGCUCGAGUGGCGAACGGGUGAGUAACACGUGAGUAACCUGCCCUUGACUUUGGGAUAACUUCAGGAAACUGGGGCUAAUACCGGAUAGGAGCUCCUGCUGCAUGGUGGGGGUUGGAAAGUUUCGGCGGUUGGGGAUGGACUCGCGGCUUAUCAGCUUGUUGGUGGGGUAGUGGCUUACCAAGGCUUUGACGGGUAGCCGGCCUGAGAGGGUGACCGGCCACAUUGGGACUGAGAUACGGCCCAGACUCCUACGGGAGGCAGCAGUGGGGAAUAUUGCACAAUGGGCGGAAGCCUGAUGCAGCAACGCCGCGUGCGGGAUGACGGCCUUCGGGUUGUAAACCGCUUUCGCCUGUGACGAAGCGUGAGUGACGGUAAUGGGUAAAGAAGCACCGGCUAACUACGUGCCAGCAGCCGCGGUGAUACGUAGGGUGCGAGCGUUGUCCGGAUUUAUUGGGCGUAAAGGGCUCGUAGGUGGUUGAUCGCGUCGGAAGUGUAAUCUUGGGGCUUAACCCUGAGCGUGCUUUCGAUACGGGUUGACUUGAGGAAGGUAGGGGAGAAUGGAAUUCCUGGUGGAGCGGUGGAAUGCGCAGAUAUCAGGAGGAACACCAGUGGCGAAGGCGGUUCUCUGGGCCUUUCCUGACGCUGAGGAGCGAAAGCGUGGGGAGCGAACAGGCUUAGAUACUCUGGUAGUCCACGCUGUAAACGGUGGGUACUAGGUGUGGGGUCCAUUCCACGGGUUCCGUGCCGUAGCUAACGCUUUAAGUACCCCGCCUGGGGAGUACGGCCGCAAGGCUAAAACUCAAAGGAAUUGACGGGGCCCCGCACAAGCGGCGGAGCAUGCGGAUUAAUUCGAUGCAACGCGUAGAACCUUACCUGGGUUUGACAUGGAUCGGGAGUGCUCAGAGAUGGGUGUGCCUCUUUUGGGGUCGGUUCACAGGUGGUGCAUGCCUGUCGUCAGCUCGUGUCGUGAGAUGUUGGGUUAAGUCCCGCAACGAGCGCAACCCUUGUUCACUGUUGCCAGCACGUUAUGGUGGGGACUCAGUGGAGACCGCCGGGGUCAACUCGGAGGAAGGUGGGGAUGACGUCAAGUCAUCAUGCCCCUUAUGUCCAGGGCUUCACGCAUGCUACAAUGGCUGGUACAGAGAGUGGCGAGCCUGUGAGGGUGAGCGAAUCUCGGAAAGCCGGUCUCAGUUCGGAUUGGGGUCUGCAACUCGACCUCAUGAAGUCGGAGUCGCUAGUAAUCGCAGAUCAGCAACGCUGCGGUGAAUACGUUCCCGGGGCU
RNAcentral lists this ribosomal RNA (1346 nucleotides) under uncultured bacterium. Its description in RNAcentral is "partial 16S ribosomal RNA". It matches the Rfam family "Bacterial small subunit ribosomal RNA", at positions 28 to 1381 of the family's 1533-position model. The record is from RNAcentral.